This 402-nucleotide ribosomal RNA is filed under the name bacterium. Its description in RNAcentral is "partial 16S ribosomal RNA". It matches the Rfam family "Bacterial small subunit ribosomal RNA", at positions 355 to 776 of the family's 1533-position model. The record is from RNAcentral.
UGGGGAAUUUUGCACAAUGGGGGAAACCCUGAUGCAGCGACGCCGCGUGAUUUAGAAGGCCUUCGGGUUGUAAAAAUCUUUUCUAUGGGAAGAAAAUGACAGUACCAUAGGAAUAAGGACCGGCUAAUUACGUGCCAGCAGCCGCGGUAAUACGUAAGGUCCGAGCGUUGUCCGGAAUCAUUGGGCGUAAAGGGUACGUAGGCGGGUAAGCAAGUGAGAAGUGAAAUCCUAUAGCUCAACUAUAGUAAGCUUUUAAAACUGCUCAUCUUGAGGUAUGGAAGAGAAAGUGGAAUUCCUAGUGUAGCAGUGAAAUGCGCAGAUAUUAGGAGGAAUACCGGUGGCGAAGGCGACUUUCUGGCCAUAACCUGACGCUGAGGUACGAAAGCGUGGGUAGCAAACAGG